CUGGAAUCGCUAGUAAUCGCGGAUCAGAAUGCCGCGGUGAAUACGUUCCCGGGUCUUGUACACACCGCCCGUCACACCAUGGGAGUCGGAAAUGCCCGAAGUCUGUGACCUAACCGCAAGGGAGGAGCAGCCGAAGGCAGGUCGGAUGACUGGGGUGAAGUCGUAACAAGGUAGC
Molecule: ribosomal RNA, 175 nt
Filed under: uncultured bacterium
Lineage: Bacteria
Description: partial 16S ribosomal RNA
Rfam family: Bacterial small subunit ribosomal RNA
Source: RNAcentral